This 776-nucleotide long non-coding RNA is filed under the name Fukomys damarensis (Damara mole-rat). Its description in RNAcentral is "lncRNA (ENSFDAG00000027177.1)". Lineage: Eukaryota; Metazoa; Chordata; Mammalia; Rodentia; Bathyergidae. The record is from RNAcentral.
CCCCGUCACAGUGGGGAAUGUGUGGUCACACCCCAACUUCCUCCAUUAUUCCAGCUGUGACCUUUACAGCCGCUUUCCCUCUGCUCCGGCUUCGGUCAAAGAUCACACACCGCGUUUGUCUGCUGAGCCUGCAGCUUUAGCAUCCGUGACAACCCUCGCUGGAAUUGCUGUAUUCGCGGUUGUAAACUAUUCUUCAUACGCAUCAUUUCAAAGGCGGUCCUCCAUAUUCUCCCUCUGGGAUCCUUCGCUUGCCUUGGCGCUUGGCAGAUUUGCUUCCGACAGGCUCAUACCCCACGCAUCCGCCUCUGUCCACAACCGUCGCGCGUGCUCGUUCCCGGUCUUCCUUACCUCUCAACGUUCAGUUUCCCCAAACUGUGGCCUGCUGACGUCCACUGCUCCUUCACGACUUGCUCCACAGCCUUCCUGCCUGCCGCAGCCCAUGCAUCAAGAGGAGUCCGUGUGGCGAUAUUUUUCUUUCCACCUUUCUUUUUGGUUUACAUUUUCCAUAAUGAGAAGACCUUAUAUCUAUGCUGCUAAAUUUCUAUGCAUAUGUUAUGGCACCCAUUUGUCCCUAGGAAAUAAUACAAACUUACGUUGCCUUCAGACUUCUGCCUCUUAGAAGCCUCUUCAGAACCUGACAUUUUGAUUCAACUUCUUCGUCUUGAAAGCCUCCCUGUGUCUGAGAAUCAUGGAGUUGCUUGACCAAUUCUCCGUGGUCUCCUAGUAUUCAUGGGCCUUUAUUGUUUUUAAUGAGAGUUGUGUCCCUUUACCCCGUU